AUGACUUUUCGAAACUCCUGAAGAAAUAAUUUUAGCCCCAUUUGGAGAAGUUUACUUUUAUUUCUGUUCGUAUUUAGAUCCACGCAGUGAAAGGAUCAGAGAAUUGAAUAUUUGAAGAUCUGUCUAUUUUAUGGUGAACUGGGGUCGUAUGUAGCAUGUAGAUCCAGCUGAAUCCUAGAAUGGCAAUUCACACCUCCGUCAGACAGACCAACUAAUUUAACCAGUUUUCAACCCUUCUUUGGCUGGCACAGGUCAGUUCUUCCAGAUACCAUAACACCUUACACCAAC
This is a non-coding RNA of Pelobates cultripes (western spadefoot toad), 288 nucleotides long. The record is from the annotation of a GenBank genome assembly. Lineage: Eukaryota; Metazoa; Chordata; Amphibia; Anura; Pelobatidae.